GAUGAACGCUGGCGGCGUGCCUAAUACAUGCAAGUCGAGCGAACGGACGAGAAGCUUGCUUCUCUGAUGUUAGCGGCGGACGGGUGAGUAACACGUGGAUAACCUACCUAUAAGACUGGGAUAACUUCGGGAAACCGGAGCUAAUACCGGAUAAUAUUUUGAACCGCAUGGUUCAAAAGUGAAAGACGGUCUUGCUGUCACUUAUAGAUGGAUCCGCGCUGCAUUAGCUAGUUGGUAAGGUAACGGCUUACCAAGGCAACGAUGCAUAGCCGACCUGAGAGGGUGAUCUGCCACACUGGAACUGAGACACGGUCCAGACUCCUACGGGAGGCAGCAGUAGGGAAUCUUCCGCAAUGGGCGAAAGCCUGACGGAGCAACGCCGCGUGAGUGAUGAAGGUCUUCGGAUCGUAAAACUCUGUUAUUAGGGAAGAACAUAUGUGUAAGUAACUGUGCACAUCUUGACGGUACCUAAUCAGAAAGCCACGGCUAACUACGUGCCAGCAGCCGCGGUAAUACGUAAGUGGCAAGCGUUAUCCGGAAUUAUUGGGCGUAAAGCGCGCGUAGGCGGUUUUUUAGUCUGAUGUGAAAGCCCACGGCUCAACCGUGGAGGGUCAUUGGAAACUGGAAAACUUGAGUGCAGAAGAGGAAAGUGGAAUUCCAUGUGUAGCGGUGAAAUGCGCAGAGAUAUGGAGGAACACCAGUGGCGAAGGCGACUUUCUGGUCUGUAACUGACGCUGAUGUGCGAAAGCGUGGGGAUCAAACAGGAUUAGAUACCCUGGUAGUCCACGCCGUAAACGAUGAGUGCUAAGUGUUAGGGGGUUUCCGCCCCUUAGUGCUGCAGCUAACGCAUUAAGCACUCCGCCUGGGGAGUACGACCGCAAGGUUGAAACUCAAAGGAAUUGACGGGGACCCGCACAAGCGGUGGAGCAUGUGGUUUAAUUCGAAGCAACGCGAAGAACCUUACCAAAUCUUGACAUCCUUUGACAACUCUAGAGAUAGAGCCUUCCCCUUCGGGGGACAAAGUGACAGGUGGUGCAUGGUUGUCGUCAGCUCGUGUCGUGAGAUGUUGGGUUAAGUCCCGCAACGAGCGCAACCCUUAAGCUUAGUUGCCAUCAUUAAGUUGGGCACUCUAAGUUGACUGCCGGUGACAAACCGGAGGAAGGUGGGGAUGACGUCAAAUCAUCAUGCCCCUUAUGAUUUGGGCUACACACGUGCUACAAUGGACAAUACAAAGGGCAGCGAAACCGCGAGGUCAAGCAAAUCCCAUAAAGUUGUUCUCAGUUCGGAUUGUAGUCUGCAACUCGACUACAUGAAGCUGGAAUCGCUAGUAAUCGUAGAUCAGCAUGCUACGGUGAAUACGUUCCCGGGUCU
Molecule: ribosomal RNA, 1371 nt
Filed under: uncultured bacterium
Lineage: Bacteria
Description: bacterial SSU rRNA
Rfam family: Bacterial small subunit ribosomal RNA
Source: RNAcentral